This 122-nucleotide small RNA is filed under the name Sinorhizobium meliloti 2011. RNAcentral describes it as "putative ncRNA". Lineage: Bacteria; Pseudomonadati; Pseudomonadota; Alphaproteobacteria; Hyphomicrobiales; Rhizobiaceae. The record is from RNAcentral.
AAGACGAUGGCGAUGACAUCGUAGAAGUCGAUGAUGAAGCGGUUGCUCGACGAUUUGUGCACCAGCAGGUGGAGGCGCUCGUCGAGUUCGGAAAAUUCGCUGUAGCGAUUGUCGAUGUCGGC